AAUAUUAAAAUGAAAUGAGUAUUUAAAUAUAUCAAAUGCGGAAGCGAGAUCAAAAUUUCAAUUAACAUCCCUUACACGAAAAACCAAACAAACGUACUUAAAAUAUAAAAGGUUAAACUAACUAAGAGAGGAACUCGAAAAUAAGACUAUGCGUAUGUCUACAGAGUCUCUAGGCAUCCCCUUCGUCGUCCUCCUGCGGAACGGGCUCGGGAACCAUGUCUUCCUGAUCUGAAAUGGUUAAUUAAGGAGUGAGCUACACUAGCCCAGUAAGAACAUCACGAUAUCUCACCGUCACGGAAAUAAAGGUGGGUAGAAAACCACAAAA
Molecule: long non-coding RNA, 325 nt
Filed under: Carica papaya (papaya)
Lineage: Eukaryota; Viridiplantae; Streptophyta; Magnoliopsida; Brassicales; Caricaceae
Description: long non-coding RNA (CPAP_LNC003354)
Source: RNAcentral